Non-coding RNA from Paramuricea clavata, 210 nucleotides. NCBI's taxonomy places the organism in Eukaryota, Metazoa, Cnidaria, Anthozoa, Malacalcyonacea, Plexauridae. The record is from the annotation of a GenBank genome assembly.
ACCCUUUCAAUGCAAUGUUUUGAAAGAAACUUUGUAGUAAUUGUAAUGAGUUGUACAGUCAUAAUUCAUUAAAACACUGCAUACAUAUGUACACUACAUGCAUACGUCACGUCGUUGACUUUGCCCCGUUCUAAGCCCUAACUUUCCAUGGGGGUCGUCAGCUACACUGCUGUACCUCCCCUAAUUUUUUUUCCACCUCCCGCACUAUUU